CCUACGGGAGGCAGCAGUGAGGAAUAUUGGUCAAUGGGCGCGAGCCUGAACCAGCCAAGUAGCGUGAAGGAUGACUGCCCUACGGGUUGUAAACUUCUUUUAUAAAGGAAUAAAGUGAGGCACGUGUGCCUUUUUGUAUGUACUUUAUGAAUAAGGAUCGGAUAACUCCGUGCCAGCAGCCGCGGUAAUCCGGAGGUGCCGGGCGGUGUGCGGAUUUAUUUGGCUUAAAGGGAGCGUCGAUGGGUUGUUAAGUCAGUUGUGAAAGUUUGCGGCUCAACCGUAAAAUUGCAAUUGAUACUGGCAGUCUUGAGUACAGUUGAGGUAGGCGGAAUUCGUGGUGUAGCGGUGAAAUGCUUAGAUAUCACGAAGAACUCCGAUUGCGAAGGCAGCUUACUAAACUGCCACUGACAUUGAUGCUCGAAAGUGUGGGUAUCAAACAGGAUUAGAUACCCUUGUAGUC
This 460-nucleotide ribosomal RNA is filed under the name uncultured bacterium. RNAcentral's name for it is "partial 16S ribosomal RNA". It matches the Rfam family "Bacterial small subunit ribosomal RNA", at positions 338 to 795 of the family's 1533-position model. The record is from RNAcentral.